Long non-coding RNA from Astatotilapia calliptera (eastern happy), 563 nucleotides. NCBI's taxonomy places the organism in Eukaryota, Metazoa, Chordata, Actinopteri, Cichliformes, Cichlidae. The record is from Ensembl.
GCUGGGGUUAGGGGUGAAGAAAAAGGGGAAAUCAAAGUUGGGAGCACGGUCCCCGAAGGGGGCCGCGCUCCAAUGCACAGACCAUACCUGCUCCCAUCUCAGGCAUCCAGGACCCCCCCAGUGGAGUUCCAAAUGGAAUGUCAUAGAUGCGGUUCGAGAGGUGGGGGGAGGAGGGGUGUAGAGGUUAGGUUUAGGGUCCACUCAAGGGGUGGGGGAUGAGGGGUUAGGGUUAGGGUAGGGGAAUUGAUUCCUCCUACGAGGGUAGAAGGAAGGUGCACGGGCCAUCCCACGGGAGAACUCCCGAUCCCUGUCUGGGUUCUCAAGGAAGGGACGAUGGCGUCGCCUUCCGUAGCGGACUACUUGCCACUCGUCCGCCAUGACGAGUGGUUUUUAAUUUACUAUUGUAAAUAUAAAUGAAAUAAAACAACCUUGUUUUUAAACAACUAAAAGAGAGCCCAAAGGCUUCAAAAACCCUUAAAACAAAACACCGUAAAUUCGGUUCCAAACAACUAAAAGAGAGCCCAAAGGCUUAAAAAUCCCUUAAACUAAAAUACCGUAAAUUC